ACACAGAGAGCAGCCUGCACUUCGCUCUAGGCCAACGAGCUCUGUCCCUACCUCUUAGACCUCCUCUAUUUGGACUCCAUCUCCAGCCUCUAAGGUGGCUUCAUACAGGUAGCCUGGCAGACCCAGGCUUGUCUCGGUCAGAACUCGGAAGCCAGUGGGAGAAGCCCUGAGGAAGCCGAGACCAGCCCCCUGUCCUCCUCAUCUGUCCUAGGCUGGCGAGAUGGCUUAUUCAUUAAAUGCACUUUCCACCAAGGAGAAUGACCUGAGUUCAAUCCCCAAGAUCCACAUGAUGGAAGGAGAGAAGCAGCUCCCCCAAGUGAUCCUCUGGUCUCUACGCUUGUGAUACAGCUAAUGUGCCAUGGGACCUCUCUGUGAGCCAUGGGACACAUACACACAAUAAAUCAAUUAAAAAUAAUAA
Myodes glareolus (Bank vole) is the source of this 418-nucleotide long non-coding RNA. RefSeq lists it as uncharacterized. Lineage: Eukaryota; Metazoa; Chordata; Mammalia; Rodentia; Cricetidae. The record is from RefSeq and is a predicted model, not a curated record.